Molecule: long non-coding RNA, 796 nt
Filed under: Coturnix japonica (Japanese quail)
Lineage: Eukaryota; Metazoa; Chordata; Aves; Galliformes; Phasianidae
Description: lncRNA (ENSCJPG00005001644.1)
Source: RNAcentral
GAACUGAAUGUGAUUCUUCCACAUCACAGGUUGCUACUGAAUCUUUACUCUCUUGUUUGAACCCAAAAUUUACACAUCGGUACCAGAAUCCAUGCUCCUACCGUGCCAUUACUGUGGGCACUACUGUGUUCCUUGGAAUCAAAAGGCAGCAGAAGAGGUGGAGGUAUCACAUACAGUUAUAACAGUCUGUCUCCAAAAUAUGGAAUGUCCUGUUAGCCCAGGAGCCAGCUGACUGGGAGUUUACUCUUGCCCAUGAGUUAUGUGGAGCAACCCUUCCCCUGAGAGGAGAGUGAGAAGCUGGUGUACACUUGCCCUGGACUUAGAGCAACCCUGUGGAUUGGAGCAGCCAGCGAUAUCCUGUUUGUCCACAUCUCAGAUUAGCCUGUGGUAAGAUGUUUAUGUAUUGUAUGUGAAGAUCUUAAGAAGAAAACAGUCUGUUUAAGACUUAAAUAUCAGCUUUCUUUUUCUAAAGGAAAGAGUCUUUCCUGGCAUAUUUUAUUCUGGAAUUUAUUUAUAGUAUUUAUAGAUACAUUCAGUAAAAGUUAGCAACACUGAAAAUGAAAAGCUUAGCAGCUCUACAUUAGUGUCACAAAUGAUGACAGCAGGGCGUUUGGCAUCACAUGAUACAAUUAAUAUGAAAUUCUCUACUGCUGCAAUAUAUCACUACAGUGUUUAACAUCUUUUUCUCAAUGGUUGUUGAAGGUCAGCAUUGGUAUUUUAUGCUAUGAGGAAAUUCUUUAUUCCAGGCACAAAAUCAUCUGCUGUGCACCACAAUACACUAUCAUUCAAAUGAACC